This is an unclassified non-coding RNA of Ictidomys tridecemlineatus (thirteen-lined ground squirrel), 348 nucleotides long. Its record names the gene 7SK. It matches the Rfam family "7SK RNA". Rfam says of the family: 7SK was discovered as an abundant small nuclear RNA in the mid-70s but a possible function has only recently been suggested. Two independent studies have found that 7SK RNA binds the CDK9/cyclin T complex (known as elongation factor P-TEFb). P-TEFb activates transcription by phosphorylating the C-terminal domain of RNA polymerase II. The record is from Ensembl. Lineage: Eukaryota; Metazoa; Chordata; Mammalia; Rodentia; Sciuridae.
GGAUGUAAGGACAAUCUGGCUACAGCAUCUGUCACCCCAUUGAUUGCCAGGGUUGAUUCAGCUGAUCUGGCUGGCUAGGUGGGUUGUCCUGUUCCUCCCACACUGUUCCGUGUAUGUCCUAACUGAAGCUGAGCAUUGAAGAGGAUGACCUUUUCCAAUUGAAGAGGAUCAUUCUUUGGUCAAGGGCAUGUGAGUAACUGCAUUCACUUCUAGAACUUCCAAACAAGCUCUCAAGCGGACACAACUAACAUAGAGAGGAAUUCCAUUGGGAACAGGCUCUGAAUUAGUCAACAUUUGUAGGUAUGAAUCCAGAGCCUUCAGCUUAGGUGGCAAGAAAUGUUGAGUUUU